Molecule: long non-coding RNA, 224 nt
Filed under: Mytilus galloprovincialis (Mediterranean mussel)
Lineage: Eukaryota; Metazoa; Mollusca; Bivalvia; Mytilida; Mytilidae
Source: RNAcentral
AAAUUACAGUCCUAGAUUAUCAAAUAAUUAAAUAAUCAUAAAAUAUUUGGUAUGGUAACCAAAUAACCAUUAUAAAAACAGCUGAACAAACCCAUGAGGACGUUUUUUGUCGGAUAUGAUUUUGCAACAAUAAUAAUAUUCUGACUUCAUGCUUGAUAUAUUAGUCCUUGUACUCAAUUACCCCAAACCUGUACUAUAAAAUCUUAUGCCAGAUUUGUCACCAC